UCAGAGUCUUAAAAUGGAUUUUUAUUAAAUAUUGCUCUGUGUAUUUAUAUCCGCUGAUGCACGCCAUCAAUAAUCAUCCCUUCUGGCUGCCAAGACAAUUUCAGCUGAAUAUUUCAGUGUGAAUUCUGCUUUUUCUCAGUAAAUAAAUCCUAACCCAAUAAUAAUUUUCACACGUCUGUUUCCAAGGAUUUUGUCUCUGAAGCCACGUGCUUGUCUUGCGAUGAGCCUGUUCUCAGGAUGUAGAGGAUGAACAGACAGGGGAUGUAGGAGAUAAACCGCAGGACGCUCGGAACGCCGAGGUAGAUAUGCCUGCAGAGCAUUACACACAUGAAAGAAAAAUAUAUACAUCACAAAAUUUAUGGGAAAUCAGCAAGAGAUAUUUGUAAAUAUUAUUAUUGACGUACCCAGAUUAUUUCUAAACAACACAGUGAAUUGAAAACUGAAUUGCAAAAUUUAGACCAAAAAAAGGUUUGAGAAAUUCUACAAUAUAAUCACAGCUUGCCUAUUCUCUCCCGCAUUCAUUGCAAGUCAGAGUUAUUCACCAAGAUUUGGUCGGAAUAGGAAAAUCAAAUGAAAAUUGCACAAUCCUGACCGCAUUGGCAAAUUGCAGAUUUACUAAAGCAUAACGCGGUCAGGAUUCAAUCAGUUCAACCGUUUCUGUAAAAUUUGUCUAGAAGCAUACAGAAAAUCUGUGAUAUCUACAUCCAAACCAAUUAACAGCCUCGGAAUCAGAGAUUUAUCAAUGGCUGCAUGCAAACGUAUCUCGUAGGAUGAAUGUUCGCAAAAUUUAAUUCACUUGCUUUUUGUAAAUUAAUGAUAAUUUAAAGGACUAUUAGCCCGCUGGGCUACUUUAAAUAGCAAUGGGGAGGAUCUAGUAUACCCCAAAGCCUCCCCAUAGCUAUUUAAAGUAGCCAAGUGGGCAAAAAGUCCUUUAAAUUAUGAUUCAUUUGCAAAAAGCAAGUGAAUGAUAACAUUUUUUUUCAAGUGCAUUAAUUCUAAAGAAAAUGUAAGUGUAGGUACACUGGAAACAGAUGGGUCUAUUAGUUAAUGAAGACCAGGAAAAGGCAGAAAUUUUAAAUAACUAUUUUUCUUCUAUAUAUAAAUGAGGAUCCUAUGGCAAGAGAUAUGCAAAUGAUUGUUGCAAAAAUCUUGCAGAUAACUUUGGAUGAUUGGAUGACUCGAGACAAGGUGCUACAGCAGUUAAAGAAAAUUAAUGUUAAUAAAGCUCCAGGGCCUGACGGUAUUCACCCACGAGUUCUUAAGGAGCUAAGUGUGGAAAUAAGUGAACCUCUAUAUUUAAUCUUUCAAGAUUCCUUUCUCUCAGGAAUUGUACCGGAGGAUUGGAGAAGGGCAGAUGUUGUUCCUAUAUUUAAAAAUGGUUCAAAAUCAUUACCUGCAAAUUAUAGACCUGUGAGCUUAAUUUAUGUGGCUGGGGAUGUAGUUGAAGUGCUAUUAAGGGAAAAUAUUUGGGAAUUCAUUGGGAAGAACUUUGUUUUUAGAAAUAAUCAGAAUGGGUUUAUGAAACAUAGGUCAUGUCAAACUAACUUAUUGCAUUCUACGAAGAAGUAAGUGGAAGUAUAGAUCAGGGUGUUGCAGUGGUUGUGAUCUACUUGGAUUUUCCUCACAAUAGGUUAGUGUUCAAACUAAAAGAAAUUGGUCUAGAUUAAUAUUCUUGUUCUUGGGUAGAACAUUAAGGAUAGAGUACAACGAGUCGUCAUUAAUGGUAAAUUUUCUUACUGGACAAAAGUUGUAAGUGGUGUCCCUCAGGGUUCUGUUUUGGGACCACUUUUAUUUGACAUAUUUAUAAAUAAUCUUGCAACAGGCAUUAAAAGCCAUGUUUUAGUGUUUGCAGAUGAGACAAAGUUUGUAAAGUAAUACAAUGUGAUCAGGAUAUUGCUUUGCUGCAGAGGGACUGGGCACCAAAAUGGCAGAUGAAAUUUAAUGUAGAGAAAUGCAAAGUUAUGCACUUUGGCAUAAAAAAUGCA
Pelobates cultripes (western spadefoot toad) is the source of this 1985-nucleotide non-coding RNA. The record is from the annotation of a GenBank genome assembly. NCBI's taxonomy places the organism in Eukaryota, Metazoa, Chordata, Amphibia, Anura, Pelobatidae.